GGAAGUGAGGGCAGUCUGGCUGAGUUAUCUGUCACCCCAUUGAUCGUCAGGGUUGGUUCAGCUGAUCUGGCUGGCUAGGCAAGUGUCCCCUUCCUUCCUCACCUGCCAUGUAUGAACCUCCCGAAACUGCUGGACACUCAGUUGAAAAGGAUGACCUUCCUCGAAUAGAGGACCGGUCUUUGGUCAAGGGUAUAUGAGUAGCUGCGCUCCCUUGCUAGAACCUCCAAACAAGCUCUCAUAAAAAAUAAUACUUUAUGUGGCUGGAGAGAUGGCUUAGUGGUUAAGGCGUUUGCCUGCAAAACCAAAGGACCCUGGUUU
This 318-nucleotide small nuclear RNA is filed under the name Jaculus jaculus (lesser Egyptian jerboa). RNAcentral describes it as "7SK RNA (ENSJJAG00000001106.1)". It matches the Rfam family "7SK RNA". From Rfam's summary of the family: 7SK was discovered as an abundant small nuclear RNA in the mid-70s but a possible function has only recently been suggested. Two independent studies have found that 7SK RNA binds the CDK9/cyclin T complex (known as elongation factor P-TEFb). The record is from Rfam by way of RNAcentral. Lineage: Eukaryota; Metazoa; Chordata; Mammalia; Rodentia; Dipodidae.